UGAGGAAUAUUGGACAAUGGGCGCAAGCCUGAUCCAGCCAUGCCGCGUGCAGGAUGACGGUCCUAUGGAUUGUAAACUGCUUUUAUACGGGAAGAAACCCUGGAACGUGUUCCAGAUUGACGGUACCGUAGGAAUAAGGAUCGGCUAACUCCGUGCCAGCAGCCGCGGUAAUACGGAGGAUCCAAGCGUUAUCCGGAAUCAUUGGGUUUAAAGGGUCCGUAGGCGGUCUUAUAAGUCAGUGGUGAAAUCCGGCAGCUCAACUGUCGAACUGCCAUUGAUACUGUAAGACUUGAAUUACUGUGAAGUAACUAGAAUAUGUAGUGUAGCGGUGAAAUGCUUAGAUAUUACAUGGAAUACCAAUUGCGAAGGCAGGUUACUAACAUUAUAUUGACGCUGAUGGACGAAAGCGUGGGUAGCGAACAGG
This 424-nucleotide ribosomal RNA is filed under the name uncultured bacterium. RNAcentral describes it as "bacterial SSU rRNA". It matches the Rfam family "Bacterial small subunit ribosomal RNA", at positions 355 to 776 of the family's 1533-position model. The record is from RNAcentral.